This 496-nucleotide ribosomal RNA is filed under the name uncultured bacterium. Its description in RNAcentral is "partial 16S ribosomal RNA". It matches the Rfam family "Bacterial small subunit ribosomal RNA", at positions 28 to 506 of the family's 1533-position model. The record is from RNAcentral.
GAUGAACGCUGGCGGCGUGCCUAAUACAUGCAAGUCGAGCGAACAGACGAGGAGCUUGCUCCUCUGACGUUAACGGCGGACGGGUGAGUAACACGUGGAUAACCUACCUAUAAGACUGGGAUAACUUCGGGAAACCGGAGCUAAUACCGGAUAAUAUAUUGAACCGCAUGGUUCAAUAGUGAAAGACGGUUUUGCUGUCACUUAUAGAUGGAUCCGCGCCGCAUUAGCUAGUUGGUAAGGUAACGGCUUACCAAGGCAACGAUGCGUAGCCGACCUGAGAGGGGGAUCGGCCACACUGGAACUGAGACACGGUCCAGACUCCUACGGGAGGCAGCAGUAGGGAAUCUGCCGCAAUGGGCGAAAGCCUGACGGAGCAACGCCGCGUGAGUGAUGAAGGUCUGCGGAUCGUAAAACUCUGUUAUUAGGGAAGAACAAAUGUGUAAGUAACUAUGCACGUCUUGACGGUACCUAAUCAGAAAGCCACGGCUAACUACGU